Molecule: long non-coding RNA, 931 nt
Organism: Zingiber officinale
Lineage: Eukaryota; Viridiplantae; Streptophyta; Magnoliopsida; Zingiberales; Zingiberaceae
Exons: 3
Source: RefSeq, a predicted model, not a curated record
CUAUAAAUGCGACCCGGUCCCAAGCAACCCUCCCGACACUCACUCGACCGUUGCAAACUCCAUCCCUCCGCCUUCUCUACCAAACUCCUCCUAUCACGUUCGUGCUUCUCGUCGCAUCGCCAUGGUUCUUGAGGCCACCAUGAUCUGCAUCGACAACUCCGAGUGGAUGCGAAAUGGGGACUACACGCCUAGACGACUCCAGGCGCAAGCGGACGCCGUCAAUCUCAUAAUGCGGUGCUAAGACUCAGGGUGCUCGCUUCUCUCUCGCAUGCAAAAUUGUUGCUUUAGUCUAAUGUCUCAUUUGGCCGUUCUCAAAAUUUAGGCGGUGCUUUAGAGAUUCUGAGUUGGCGCUAGCAUUGAGGAUCUCCAUGGAACAGGAACGAGCAAGACAAGAGACUGCUUCCAAAAAGGCUGAUGAGGAUGCUGCUAAAGGGAAAAAAGGUGCUGAGCAGGCUUCAAGUUCCAAAGAUGCAACUAUCAGUGAAGUAGACAAGAAUUCAGCUAUUGCUACUGAUGAUAAAAGGCACAGUUUAACUAUAAACAAGCUUUUGAGCUUUUAUGGGUUGAAACGAUAAAGAUAGCGAAUGGUUUUGCUAAAGCUCUAGCUUAUUUACACGAAUAUGGGAUCAGUCAUUGGGAUGUGAAGAGUGCUAAGAUCUUGCUUGUCUUGGUAUAUACACUAGCAGCCUUAUGUCUUAGGAAAUGGGAUGUGAAACUAAUCUAUGCCUUGAUUUUUAGGACUUUAAUUCAAAGAUUGCUGACUUUGGAUCGGCAAUGAACUUCCAAACAUAUUCUACCGGCAGAGAUUGUGUAUCACACCUCUUGUUAUGUUGCUCUAGAGUAUAUAUUUUAUGGUAAGAAUCAUUUUGAUGAUCUCAUUUCUCCUAAAUAAUAAUGACCCUUUUGUAUUAUGAAUUGGUUGUCAAAUUGC